AGAAAGAAGAAGAAAAGAAGAAAAAGAAGAAGAAGGGACUUUUCUUUUGAGUCUCUUCCCUCCCUUUCCCCUUAUUUCCCCCUUUUCCCCUUGUUUCCCCUUGUUUCCC
This 109-nucleotide non-coding RNA is filed under the name Paramoeba aestuarina. Lineage: Eukaryota; Discosea; Flabellinia; Dactylopodida; Paramoebidae. The record is from RNAcentral.